Molecule: ribosomal RNA, 497 nt
Filed under: uncultured bacterium
Lineage: Bacteria
Description: partial 16S ribosomal RNA
Rfam family: Bacterial small subunit ribosomal RNA
Source: RNAcentral
GAUGAACGCUGGCGGCGUGCCUAAUACAUGCAAGUCGAGCGAACGGACGAGAAGCUUGCUUUUCUGAUGUUAGCGGCGGACGGGUGAGUAACACGUGGAUAACCUACCUAUAAGACUGGGAUAACUUCGGGAAACCGGAGCUAAUACCGGAUAAUAUUUUGAACCGCAUGGUUCAAAAGUGAAAGACGGUCUUGCUGUCACUUAUAGAUGGAUCCGCGCUGCAUUAGCUAGUUGGUAAGGUAACGGCUUACCAAGGCAACGAUGCAUAGCCGACCUGAGAGGGUGAUCGGCCACACUGGAACUGAGACACGGUCCAGACUCCUACGGGAGGCAGCAGUAGGGAAUCUUCCGCAAUGGGCGAAAGCCUGACGGAGCAACGCCGCGUGAGUGAUGAAGGUCUUCGGAUCGUAAAACUCUGUUAUCAGAGAAGAACAUAUGUGUAAGUAACUGUGCACAUCUUGACGGUACCUAAUCAGAAAGCCACGGCUAACUACGUG